RNAcentral lists this ribosomal RNA (340 nucleotides) under uncultured cyanobacterium. Its description in RNAcentral is "bacterial SSU rRNA". It matches the Rfam family "Bacterial small subunit ribosomal RNA", at positions 991 to 1349 of the family's 1533-position model. The record is from RNAcentral. Lineage: Bacteria; Bacillati; Cyanobacteriota.
AUCGAUUCUUGAAGAGAAGUGCCGUUGCACGAUAUACACAGUGUGCAUGGCUGUCGUCAGCUCGUGUCGUGAGAUGUUGGGUUAAGUCCCGCAACGAGCGCAACCCUUGUUUUAGUUGCCUUUAUGGAACUCUAAAAAGACUGCUGGUUAUAAACCGGAGGAAGGUGGGGAUGACGUCAAGUCAGCAUGCCCCUUACACCCUGGGCUACACACGUGCUACAUUGGGCGAGACAAUGAGAUGCAAAUCUGCAAAGACUAGCUAAUCUAUAAACUCGUUCUAAGUUCGGAUUGUAGGCUGCAACUCGCCUANGUGAAGGUGGAAUCGCUAGUAAUCGCUGGU